UGGCGGAGGUUGGGAGUCCCUGCUAUGACUCUGUUUGCAAACUCUUGUUUCAUUGUUUAAGCGAUUAAAUCUCUCGAGUAGACGCUGUCUCUUUAGAUGCGAGGGCAAAAUAGCACUUUAUGGACUUCCACAGAGGACAUCAUGUUUAAUACGGUUCCGGAAAAAUCCAGUCAGAAGUUGUUCACGGAGUUUUCACAAUAACUGCUUCUCAUGAACCGAAGCUGGAUUUGCGCGACGUCUCCUCUUGAAAGUUGGAUUACUGUGCACUUCUGGAUCACAGACUAUUCGCAGCUGUACACAUCCUUCUACACUGUAUGCAAACAUGCAACAUCAUUACACACAGUACAAGGAGUCAGACUGGCAUAUGAGGAGCAAAGGAACCCAGGCAGUAGCAUCGUUUCACAAUGUUUCCAUCAUCAGUGGAUGCCUUUGCCGUCCGUAGCCUGAGAUUUCAGAUUUGCAGCAAAACAUUUUUGAUUUUCUCAUUUAUUGGAAUGCUGUGCAGGUAUUUGUACCUUGCAGCCAUCCAUUACAAUGUCACCAAGCCGUAACAAAAGCAGGAGAGGGAAAGUACAAGGCUAUGUUCCCAAAACACACAAGUGACAUACCUUAUGUGGAUGAUGUGAUCAGGCUUGUGUUUGAUGAGGUAUUUGAAGAUAAGCUGAAGGAAACCCCGAUUCCAAUGGACCUGGCAUCACAGUUUGAGAGACCUUCAAAGGAGGACGUGAUUGCAUG
Paramisgurnus dabryanus is the source of this 735-nucleotide long non-coding RNA. RefSeq lists it as uncharacterized. The record is from RefSeq and is a predicted model, not a curated record. NCBI's taxonomy places the organism in Eukaryota, Metazoa, Chordata, Actinopteri, Cypriniformes, Cobitidae.